UAUUAAAAAUUUCAUCUAAUUAUAUUAUUAAAAAUCAACUAGGCUAAUAGAAUAAUUAGACAGUAAUAGGUAGUGUGUUAUGUGUAUCUAAUGUUAAUGUACAUAGAUAAUUUUUUUAACAGUAAAAAUGAAUGAAAUUUUUAACA
Molecule: microRNA precursor, 146 nt
Filed under: Gossypium arboreum
Lineage: Eukaryota; Viridiplantae; Streptophyta; Magnoliopsida; Malvales; Malvaceae
Description: MIR7502 microRNA precursor family
Rfam family: MIR7502 microRNA precursor family
Source: Rfam by way of RNAcentral